This 5870-nucleotide long non-coding RNA is filed under the name Sorghum bicolor (sorghum). Its description in RNAcentral is "long non-coding RNA (SBIC_LNC004657)". Lineage: Eukaryota; Viridiplantae; Streptophyta; Magnoliopsida; Poales; Poaceae. The record is from RNAcentral.
ACGAGGAAAUAAAAAGGAGCAAGUGCUCGGAACCUCGAAAGAAAAGAAAAAGUGAGACGAGAGGUAAAAAUGGACAAGUGUCCGACAGUAGAAUUAGGGGUGCAAGAUACCCACCUGAGAGAAAAGAAAAAGAAGAGCAUCUCAUUCUUCUCAUAAAGUUUCAAAAGCAAGGAAGGUAUGUAUCCCCUCAGAAGAGCAAAGUAGAAUUAGACUUUCACCACCAUUGUUUCCACCAUUGUUUUCACCAUUGUUGUCACCAUCAUCACCAUAUACCAUUCAUUCGCCACACAUGCACAUCUUGAUUAAACUUAUUGACUUGUUACUUUGGAUCCAUGGUUUGACUAUGCAAUACAUGUCUUGUAAGUAUGUAUAUCUUAUCUCCCAACUAUGAGCUCCAGAUAUUAAAGCCUUAUUAGAGUAGGAUGAGAGAGAAGGCAAUGUUACUAUGCCUCAUACCACAAAUACCACAUAUCUUGAGAGAAGGCAUAUACCAUCAAUGCCUUGGUAAGGAUCCAAAAAUACCACAAAAGAGAGACCUGAGAGAAUCAUACAAGGAAUUCUGAGUUUUAUUUGAAAAUCUGCAAAAAUCCCAGAGCUAUAGCUGAUCAAGAAUAAGAGACAUGGCACUUGGCUAGACUGUUCUAUCUUUUAACCACUCAAGACAGAAGUGACAGUUACAAGUCCCAUGGUGAAGGUAAAGUAAGUAAGUUUUAAGUCUUGACAGUUUACUCUAACUCAGAGAUGAGAUCUUAUUUAAGAGCAUGUGUACCGUCAAAUUUUUAAAGAUAUUGCAGCAACUUCUGAUCCAUAGCUGAGUCUAUCCUUGCUCAGGGACGAGCAAGAGGUAAGCUUGGGGGAGUUUGUUGACGGUCCUUAAGUAUCAAAUUUAAUUAUCAAAAAAAUAAAGAAAAGGAUCCAAAUGAAAUAAAGAUCUAGACUUAGGGUUUUAUCUGACAGAAUUCCACGAGUUUUGGUGUUUGUCUAUUUCUGCAGGGGGUUAUCAGGAAAUAUGGAAGAAAGGCCCACAUGUCAGGAUUACGUAAAGAUAUUAACAUGCUGUGCAAUUAUCUUACAUCUAGAAGACUCCAGAAGCCACGAGACCGAAGCGGAGGCGAAUCGGGGCCAGAGACAGGGCGCCCGCCCUGUCCAACUGGGCACCCGCCCUGCCCCUAAGUCCAAUCAGGACUCUGCUUUGCGGGAAGUCUCCACCGACCUAAAGGAUGAAUCUAAACCAUACAAUCUAUGUCGGUUUGAUCCAAGGGCCCAUAUUCACUUGAAGGGACUAUAAAACCAGACCCCCUGGCCCCUGGAGGGGAGAGCCUCUCAACCCUAAUUCAUUGUUCCAUCAAGGGAGAAGAAGCCUCUGAUCAAGAUUAGAGCCACCACAUCAAUUAGAUAUCUAGAUUAGCAUAGCUACAUAGGAUUAGAACUAGAAGGAGUCAAUCUUCGAUUGGUUUCCGGAUCUGUCAGGAGGAUUCUUGGUAAUUCUCUAAUUGUGCUUCUAAUUGCUUUCUAAUUAUCUUUGUUCUUCAAUAUUAUGAAUAUGACUUUGUUCUACUUCAAUAUAUUGCUUAUGACUUUGCUCUAUUUGCUUAUAUUCAAGAUUAUAUUGUUCUUAGUUUAUCAUAGUUAUGUACUUGGCUUAGUUAGAUACGAUCUAUAUACAUGCUUAGGAUCGUAUAGCGUUUAUCCAUCGGAUCCAUGGGUAAAAGAUAGAUAUUGUGUAGGCGUGGUGCUUAUACCGUAUUUAUCUGCGAUUGUACCCAAUAUGCCAGAUCGUGGGGUAGUUCGUGAUAGUGACAGCUUCAUUGAUUCUUAUAUAGUCCCCCUCUCGUGUAUUGGGCUGGCAGAGCAACAUUAUUACAGGGGAGUGAUUGCUAUGUUUCUCAUAUUCCUUGCUAAUAUCACUAUGCAUGGGCGUAGUCUUGUCUCGCAAUGAUUGCUAAGUAUGCUUGCACUAACUAUGAUAUGCUAGACUAUAUAGUUAAGAAUAACUUAGGGAAUAUUCUUGUAGUUCGUUCUAAUACCAUGCUAAUGACUUUCUAGAGUAUCUAAUUGAGGUGCUUAUCAUAUUUAUUAUGUGGCUAGAUCAGAUUAGUUAUCCUUGUCACUAUUAUCAUUUCAUAUAUCUAUUAUGUGACACUUAUCCCUGUAUGAAGAGUUAGAUAUAAUGUUCUCAAUUAUACAUGCAAUGAUAGAUGCUCAAUCUCAUAUUCUAUUCUGUAAUCAAUAGUGAUGAUUGAUUAAUCCCUUCCCAGUGGUAAAAAUAUAAAUAACGAUACCUGGAAUACUUCCCGGUUAAAAUGCUACAUCGGUAUUAAUCUGUGCGCUUGCAGAUCCCAUUCAUUAUUUAUUUAGAAGAGCAAUUGCAUAUUUCAAUACCGCGUCUCUCAUGUCAUGCUGGGGAUGACAACUUGGCUUAAGUGGUGUGAGGGAUAGGUUUGGCAUUUUUGGCACCGUUGCUAGAUUUAGAACUUAGUCUACUUUUGGUAAUGAUGUUAAGAAUACCCAACAGUGGGCACUCUGCUCAACAAACUUCCUGGCUAAGUUCUUUCCCAUGGGCAAGACCAAUGCUCUCCGUGGGAAGAUUACAUGUUUUCAGCAACAAAAUGAUGAAUCUGUUCCAGAAGCAUGGGAGCGCUUUCAAGACUACAUCCUAGAAUGUCCCCAUCAUGGAAUGGAGAGUUGGCUAUUGAUGCAGACAUUUUAUCAUGGGCUUGGCAACAGUGCCUGAGAAACCAUGGAUGCUGCAGCUGGAGGAGCAUUCUUAUCACUUACUAUACCACAAGCCAUAGCUCUUGUGGAGAAGAUGGCGUCCAACCAAAGCUGGAAUGAAGAGAGGACCCAGACACGCAAGAGAGGUGGAGGUAUGCAUCAGCUGAAGGAGGUAGACAUGCUGUCUGCUAAGCUAGACCUGCUCAUAAAGAAGCUCGACGAUAGAGCUGGAGAUAAGAAGGAAGUGAUGCACAUCUACGACUCUCACAUGACAUGUGAGGAGAGUGGAGACACUGGACACUCAGGCAACCACUGUCCUGAGAUGCUUGAGGAUGUGAACUACAUCAACAACAACAACUACAACUACUACAACCGUCCUCAACAAAAUCAUGGUUGGAAUCAACAGAGGCCUAACUACUCAGAGAGGAGAUCCAGGACGCCCCAUCAUCCCGAUCUCCAUCGGCAUGGUGGACGUCCCAGAAGCACUCUGUGACUUUGGCUCCAGCGUCAACAUUAUACCCAGGGUACUCUAUGAAAAAUUCUUUACAUAUCCUUUAUUAGAGACAACCAUGUGUUUGCAAUUUGCAGAUCAGACGAUAACUUUUCCAAAGGGAAUAUUGAAGAACCUUUGUGUCCGAGUUGGUACCUUGUAUGCCCCAGCAGACUUCGUAGUGGUAGAGACCGAAAAUGAUGAGAGGGCACCUAUCAUCUUAGGGAGGCCAUUCUUGAACACCACGGGAGCUAUCAUCUAUGCCAGUGCUACCAAGAUAAGUUUCUACAUCAAAGGGAGGAAGGAGACAUUUUUCUUCAGGAACAAGACUACACAAAUCCCAGAUCAAUCCAGACGUGAAUCAAGGAAGAGGACCAACAGGAGGAACAAGAACAAGAAAGUGUGGACCGAGUCAGCUAAGAUGGUCUCUGCAGUUCAUGGAGGCCAAGAUCAUCAAUUUAAGUCACCGUUUUUGACCAAGAAGGACGACCCAGGAAUGCCAAGCAUCUAUUGCUCCAUAAAUGGAUACAACUUCUACAAGACGUUUUGCGACACUGGAUCGGGCGUCAACAUAAUGGCCACAGUCACCUAUCGGCUCUUGUUCGGAACCAUACCACUAAAACCAACAUACAUUCAGCUCCAGAUGGCAGAUCAGAUGUUUCGAGUGGUUAAAGGAACAGUAACUGAUGUCCCUAUCAAAAUAGACGAUCAUUUUGUCUACACAGACUUUCAGGUUAUUGACAUGGGAGAAGAUGAAUACGAUCCACCCAUCAUCCUUGGAAGACCGUUCCUCAGCACCAUUAAAGCAAUCAUCUACAUUGGAACCGGAGAAGUCCAUAUGCACUUCCCCUCAGAGAAGGUACGACGUUAUUUUACUGACCCUAACUAUAUCGUUGAAGAAUCUAAGCAGGUAAGGAAACGACGCAACCGCAACCAGAGGAUGCAAAUCAUCAAGGAUGGAUGGGCAGACUACGAAGGAGAAGUUAUAAGGUCAGAAGACGUAGAGUUUAAACAGAAUUAUCCAGAGGAGACCGUAGCACCGAGUCAGGUAUGGAAAGAGAAGAUAACUAUACAUGAAGAGGAGGCGCCGCCGGAAGUACCGACUACGCCACUCAACGAAUCCCAGGACAAUUAAGAAAAUGGAGAGUCCCGUUCGGAGGAUUUUAAAACACCGAACGCCUUGCCAAGAGGUAAACUUGGUAGUUAUCCUUUCCCUUUCAAUUAUUUUAAACAGUUUGCUUAGUUAAUCAUGUUCACGUUAUCCUAAAAAGAAAAUAAAAAUGUGAAAAACAGUAAGCCCCAUGUGAAUAUACGAGUGGCAUGAAACCCAUAAGUACAUUCACUGUGGUGGCAUAAAAAUAAAAUAAAUAUUUUUCUGCUCUAUAAAAUAAAAAUAUAAAAACAGGGAGUAAUAAUUAUUAAGGAGUCUCAACAUGAUAAAGGCUAGAUAUUUAUGCUAACACUUAAUUAGUUCCAUAAGCUUUGCUGUCUAUUUGAGCUCCGCAAAAUUUAAGAAUCAAGAAGACUAGCAGACGGAGGACAUUCUAGACGCUGUCAGAAUGCUGCUGACUUUCAAAUACACCUCUGCCACCUGCUAGCUACAUCAAGAGAAAUUACGUCAAAAUUCAGCUUGGGGGAGAGCAUCCCCAUUUAUCCCGCUAAGUAUUUCUAUCUUUCUAUCUAUAUUUAUACUUAUACUAUAUUAAAAUACAUAAACUAAAACCAAAUAAAGAUUUUAUGCUUAUAUAUAUCUCUUUUGCUUAGUAUGUUUAAUAAAUAAAUAAAGUGGCUAUGCUAAUCUGUAUCUUAAUAAUAAAACUCAAGCAUGGUUAUAAUGAAUAGUUGCUCUGCCUAAUUUGCACAUUUUAAGUUCUCUCUCAAGUUUAGACAUAACUGUUAUAAUUUAAAGCUUGCUCUAGACCUAAACUUGUGGGAUGAAAACUUGAUUUGAAGUCUAAGUUGUUAACGGAUACGAUAUGGGAAGGUUGAGCUGCUAUUUAUCUGUCUAGAGAUGCUAGAAUUCUGGAGAAUUUUAUCUUUGAAAAUCUUUAAAAUGUUGCAUGCUGAGUUCCUGUAUGAUGAGAGUUUAAAUUCCUACCACAGCCAUAUAUACAUGCUUGCUAGAAUUUGAGCCACACAUUUACUAUUUACUGCUUAUGAGCAUUGAGUGUGGUCAAGCUGUGUAGACCCUUAGGAGCUUGUCAUGUGGUUAAAUCAAGAUUUCACUUGCACGUUCACUCAUAUAUGCUACUUCUAUUCUGGAAGUACCAUCCACAUAUAUCCAUCCAUUUCCAUCUCCAGAACCACCUAAAAAUAUUCUACUCCUAAUCCGAGAGAGAAUAAUCAAAAAUAUUUCUGUUUUUCCCUUGUGAAAUAAAUGCUCAAGUUAUCUUGUUACUACCACUUGCUAUAUUAUCUCAAGAGAUGAGUGCUCUAAAAAAAAGAAGAGAAAAAGAGAUACGAGGAAAUAAAAAGGAGCAAGAGCUCGGAACGUCGAAAGAAAAGAAAAGUGAGACGAGAGGUAAAAAUGGACAAGUGUGCGACAGUAGAAUUAGGGGUAUGAGAUACCCACCUGAGAGGAAAGAAAAUGAAGAGCAUCUCAUUCUCCUCACUAUUCAAAAAGCAUAGAAGGUAUAUAUCCCCUCAAAGAGCAAAAGUAGAAUUA